GACGAACGUUGGCGGCGUGCUUAACACAUGCAAGUCGAACGGAAAGGCCCUGCUUUUGUGGGGUGCUCGAGUGGCGAACGGGUGAGUAACACGUGAGUAACCUGCCCUUGACUUUGGGAUAACUUCAGGAAACUGGGGCUAAUACCGGAUAGGAGCUCCUGCUGCAUGGUGGGGGUUGGAAAGUUUCGGCGGUUGGGGAUGGACUCGCGGCUUAUCAGCUUGUUGGUGGGGUAGUGGCUUACCAAGGCUUUGACGGGUAGCCGGCCUGAGAGGGUGACCGGCCACAUUGGGACUGAGAUACGGCCCAGACUCCUACGGGAGGCAGCAGUGGGGAAUAUUGCACAAUGGGCGAAAGCCUGAUGCAGCAACGCCGCGUGCGGGAUGACGGCCUUCGGGUUGUAAACCGCUUUCGCCUGUGACGAAGCGUGAGUGACGGUAAUGGGUAAAGAAGCACCGGCUAACUACGUGCCAGCAGCCGCGGUGAUACGUAGGGUGCGAGCGUUGUCCGGAUUUAUUGGGCGUAAAGGGCUCGUAGGUGGUUGAUCGCGUCGGAAGUGUAAUCUUGGGGCUUAACCCUGAGCGUGCUUUCGAUACGGGUUGACUUGAGGAAGGUAGGGGAGAAUGGAAUUCCUGGUGGAGCGGUGGAAUGCGCAGAUAUCAGGAGGAACACCAGUGGCGAAGGCGGUUCUCUGGGCCUUUCCUGACGCUGAGGAGCGAAAGCGUGGGGAGCGAACAGGCUUAGAUACCCUGGUAGUCCACGCUGUAAACGGUGGGUACUAGGUGUGGGGUCCAUUCCACGGGUUCCGUGCCGUAGCUAACGCUUUAAGUACCCCGCCUGGGGAGUACGGCCGCAAGGCUAAAACUCAAAGGAAUUGACGGGGCCCCGCACAAGCGGCGGAGCAUGCGGAUUAAUUCGAUGCAACGCGUAGAACCUUACCUGGGUUUGACAUGGAUCGGGAGUGCUCAGAGAUGGGUGUGCCUCUUUUGGGGUCGGUUCACAGGUGGUGCAUGGCUGUCGUCAGCUCGUGUCGUGAGAUGUUGGGUUAAGUCCCGCAACGAGCGCAACCCUUGUUCACUGUUGCCAGCACGUUAUGGUGGGGACUCAGUGGAGACCGCCGGGGUCAACUCGGAGGAAGGUGGGGAUGACGUCAAGUCAUCAUGCCCCUUAUGUCCAGGGCUUCACGCAUGCUACAAUGGCUGGUACAGAGAGUGGCGAGCCUGUGAGGGUGAGCGAAUCUCGGAAAGCCGGUCUCAGUUCGGAUUGGGGUCUGCAACUCGACCUCAUGAAGUCGGAGUCGCUAGUAAUCGCAGAUCAGCAACGCUGCGGUGAAUACGUUCCCGGG
RNAcentral lists this ribosomal RNA (1343 nucleotides) under uncultured bacterium. RNAcentral's name for it is "16S ribosomal RNA". It matches the Rfam family "Bacterial small subunit ribosomal RNA", at positions 28 to 1378 of the family's 1533-position model. The record is from RNAcentral.